Molecule: long non-coding RNA, 298 nt
Filed under: Rhagoletis pomonella (apple maggot)
Lineage: Eukaryota; Metazoa; Arthropoda; Insecta; Diptera; Tephritidae
Description: uncharacterized LOC118757029, transcript variant X2
Source: RNAcentral
GUUUGCGCUAAAAUACAUCAAUGUGUGUGAAAUUCGUUGUCAUUGCUUUUGUUUUGAACAUCAUAUUCGUGCCUGCCGGUGGAAAAAUUAGAGCGACAUAUUAGUGCAUUGGCUCGGUGAAAUAAAUGAAGGUCUACUGGAGGCAAAUUAAAAUAUCUCCCUCAGCAAAAAUGAGACUCUCGCUCAUGAUGAAAGCAUGUUAAUAGUUUAUUCUUUGAAACAUCACCGACAUAGUCAUAUUCUAAAGCAUCAUCAACGCCAUCACCAAAUUCAAUGCCAUCAACACCAUCAGCGGCUA